CUUAUCACCUUUUUCUUUUUUUUUAGUAUUUUUAGAAAAUUUGAAAAACCUUAAGACUUUAUAAUUGUGCUUGAUAUCAUAUAGAUAUGUGAGACUUAUUUGAUGCUGAAGCAAAAGAAAACUAUAGUUGACUGACUACUCUUCUCUCUGUUUAUCUAUCUUUCGGAUCUUUUAGAUAACAUUUGAUUGUGGAAACCAGUUUAGUCUAGUAAUUUGGUUAAAGAUUUGUUAAUGUUUUUUAUAUUAAAAUCGGAGUUUCAGAUACAAGAAAAGAAUCAAAUAAUGAUACAAGAUUAAGAGAAAAAUGUUUAUAUAAAUCUUUUUUAAUAUGAUUAAAAGAGGAUCGUCAAAACGUAGAUUUUAUAGGACGGUUCAUAGUCGACUCGGUAGAGAAGGUGGUUAGUGCAACCGCCCAAACCUCCCCUAAAUCUACGAAUAUUAGAAGUCUUAAUUAUUUUCAUGAACACAUUUGAUUACAAAGUUUUCUAGUUUUUUUAUGGGUUUUUUUUAGUGGUAUAAAUAUUUAAGUUUUUUUUUUGUUUUGUGCAAAAAUGUUAAGUUAAACGGAACUAAAAAUAUAUUUAAAUUUUCAAACUGAUUUUUCAAAUAACAAAUGUGACAUGAAUAGUGACCAAUCCAUUUUUUACUAUCAAGUAUCAACACAUUCUUUUCAUAUGCCCUUUCUCAAAAAAAGAAAACACAUUCUUUUCAUUCACAAAGCUCUUCUAAAAAGAAUAAACAAUCCAUAGAAUCGUGAAUAUAUUUGUUGACCAUAAAGAAUCGUGAAAAUUGGGGUAAAAUUGUAGUCGCUUACGUUGGGCCUUACGACGCCUUUUAAGAAUCAUCAUUUUCAUAUUGGGUAACAUGUCGUCGUCUGAGUUAGGCCUUGUGAGGCUUUUAAGUAAAGCCCAUUGAUAUUACGUGACGUGAAAAAAAUUUAAAUCUCGUUUCACUUGUCAUCAACUCAUUUCAUUAUCAAAGGGAGACCAACACUCUAGAGAGAUUAGCCAACACAAUGCAUGAUGUUUAGUGUUUGUGAUUGUUGAUAAAAAAAAGACAUUUUCAUAAACUUUUUUCCUGAUAUCAAACUUAAAUGAUUCGUUAAAUAUGUUGAAGAAAAUAUCUCAUAUACAUAUGAAUAACAUAUAAAAAAUUUAGACCAAUGCAAUUAUCGCCAAUUGAUUUUUAAGUUAGAAAUCAAUUUUUUUAUAAAAAAAAUAGAUAAACUUUUUGAAGUUCUGAAAGGUUAAUUACAAUUUCUAUUUGAAUGUAACGAAUCAUAGCUAUAAAGUUUCCAUCAAAAACAAAUGAUUGUAAGAACUUUCAUAUUUGAAAGAAAUUCUAUAAAUCUUAUUCAAAUCAAACAUAUCACGAUCCAUUAUCCAGCCAAUACACACAUACACACACACCCACAUAUAUACUUAUACUGUUUAUUUGGUUGUUCAAGAAAAAAAAAAACUUAUACUGUCUGUAUUCGUAUGUAUGUCAGACUGUUAAUACGUGUGUGUUAUGUAUAAUAAAUGGAAGUGUGAAAUAUAAGAGCUGUGAGACGGUGACGGGAGAUGGGCCUUGUGGGCCCAGUAUUCACGUGACAGAUGUGAUGAUAGUGUAACGAGUUGGGGUCCAUGGGCCUUUAGAAGACGUUUCAAUCUCAACCGACCGCCGACGACUGGACCUUGAGAAUCGAGAUCUCGAUGGUGACCUAACCCACUCAACUCACUGACACGUCCCGUCGUUUAGCCAACACGUCAUAUGUAUUGGAGUGUACUGUAUCAAUUCACAAAAAUAGUAUUUUGUUGAUAUUUCCGUUUUUUCAUAGUUUUAUCAGAUUUUUUCGCCUUUUUAAGACAUUUUCUAUAGCUUUCAACGCUAAACAUAUUAUCCAUAACAAGAAUUCCAAUCAAUCUCAAUAGAUUCUUCAAACAUUCGAGAUUGAAAAUAGUUAGGUGCGUGAAUGUGUUUGCACUGUGCACAUGCAUAAUCGUGCAUUAUGCUUAACGCAUUACGCCACUACGCAUAUGUAUAGUAUCCGAAACUAGCAUGAGUAUUAUGGAUUCAAUAAUAAUGUUUGUGAUUAGUAUAGCCACCUCAUGUAAAAACGCAUGUGUUUUUUUUUUUUGCUAAAUAGAACGCAUGUGUGAUGAACAAUGUUCAUUCAUGACACCGAUGCAACGAUCUUAUUUUGAAAAAACUCGGUGAUCCAAUUGGUAUUUUUUUGUCAAGAUCCAAUUGGUAUUUAGUAUUUAUUUUUCUUCAACGACAAAAAAUUAUGUCAGUUAAUUAGACCACUGAAUUUUUCAAAUCAUUAUUCAAUGCAGACAUUAAAACGAUUUUGUUCAGAGGUGACUAGCUUAUAUAUACACAUCUAGGGCAAGCAUUUUACCAUAGUUAAUUUUCUUUGUUCUUUGUUUUUUUUUUCUGUUUUUGGUAACCAAGUGUUCUCUUCAGGUUGCCAAUUUUUUUUUUUUUGACAACAUCAACUAAAAACUAACUAGAAACUCCAACCGAUCUAGCAAGCCAAACCGGUGGGAUUGAAUCGACAUAAAGCAAAGCUGAAGGAGAACUCCUCGCACCGCGUGCAAGCUUGUCCGCCAAGAGAAAGCAGGCCAUUCAUCAGGUGUCGAUACCAUCUUUACCAGCUGAGAACAAUCCGUUGCAAACACUACGUCAGAAAAUUGGAGGGUCUUCAUGCAUUCCAUUGCCCAGAUUAGUGCUUCAAACUCAGCAUGCAAGGAUGACAAACUUCUACGAAGAUUCAUUGCCCCCAUCAUGACAUCAGUCGAUCCACUCUUUCUGCAAAACUAACCUUGUCCCGUAAAUAUGUCUUCCUCUUUCCAAGCUCCGUCAAUAUAACAAACUCUAGAAACUUCCAGGUCUAAAUCGGUUUAAAAUGAACGAUUUUCAGUAGGAUGCAACAAAUUAUGAUUUAUAUCUUCUUCUUUUAACAAUAAUUAUGAUUUAUAUCGGUUUUUCCUGUUAUAAGUUUGUGAUGGAUCUGCAGUUAAAUAUUAAAGUGAAUCAGUCGUCACUGAGAAGGAUUUUAAAAUAAAUAAUUUGAUUAGACAGAAAACACAUGAAGACAAGUUUUGCAUAUAAAGGACACUAUCUUUGCUUAAUUAGUGAUGCAUUUGAAUUUUGAUCAGUUGACAGUUUUAUUUUUUUAAUUGAUUUUAAAGAUACGAAUUUUGUAUUGUUGGAUUAAUUUCACGUCACAUAAUUUUCUUCAGUUAGCAUAUGAAUUUGUAUAAUAAUAACACAAUACCAACUACUUUAACAAAAAAAAAAAAACACGCGCAUAAUACCAACUCAUGUUAGACUGCGCGUUUUGGCCAUUUUUCUUCAAUGACUUGUGGGGGACAGUAUACAUCGGCAUAAUACGAUCAAAUGUUUUUGUUUUGAUAUUGUUGUUUUGACGAUGUAUAUUCGACGAUAACGUUAGACUUCAUGGUCGCUGUGCAUUCGUUGGUUCAUUAUACAUUUUUAAAAAAACAAUCAAACAAUUAGAUAAUUUAAGGAUUACAAUUUUUGUUGGUUAUCAAAAGUAACGAUCAACUAACAAAGAGACUAUGAUCUAGUGACCGACAUUUUAUGUUAUUUAUAUGAUCUAGACCGACAUUUUAUGUUAUUUACACUCAAACAAAUUAACAGUAUAACAUAUAGUUCACUGCUAUUGCUCAUCGCUGUCUUUGAUAAUAACAAAACAAACACUAUAGAUCAAUAUAGGUCAUUGUUAUCUAUUGCUCACCACUGUAUUUGUCCUGCAUCGAUAUCGCCAAUAGUAACAAAACUAACAGCAUACGUGACAUUUGAGUGAUGACCACUGGAUUACAUGUCACUAUUGUCGUGUUUGCAGUUUGCAUUUUGCACCCGACAUUUGCUUACCCACUUCAGUGGUCCUAUUUGCUCUUUCCACUAGAAUACUGGUCAAUUUCACAAUUUUCUGAAAAUAUUCGUAUAUCAUCAAACUGUUCACGAUAUGAAACCAUGAGAUUUCAAUUAAAGGUACCUUCAAAGUCGGAGAUACGGUGGAGAGACACAGGUUUCGACAAUUCAAAUCUGGAUCGACUCUUCUAUCUGGUGAAUAUUAUAGAAAAUUUGGGAGAUUGAUCUGUUUUUCCAAUGGAAUCCGCUCAUUUUAUUUAUAUAUCUUCUAUUAAAAGAAAAAUACAAUUUUUAUUUACUAUAAAAGUCAUAUUAGAUCCAUUUCAUCAAUUACAUCUAUAUGAUUAUCAAAUUAAUCUAUUAAAUAUAUAAUAAUUAUAAAAUAUCUUAAUAAUUAUAAGAAUAUUAAUAAUAAAUCAAUUUUAAUUGUAAAUUUAAAAUUUACUGUUGAGAAAAAAAUCUAAUAAAAGCUUACUAAAAAUUUAUUUUUUUCUUUUAAAAUUAAUGCAUUGAUUAAUUUCGUGAUUAUAUAUACUAUUAUAAAUUAAUGUUAACUAAAAUUUUAGUAUUAAACAAAAAUAAAAUUCUAUGCUAUUUUUAUAGAUUUUAUAAUCAUAGUCUAUAUUAUAUUAAAACAGAAGUAAGAUAUAAAUUAAAUAUAAAAAUUAUAUUAAAUAUUUUUCCAAAUUUUUAGUUGAUAGAGAAUCAAAGUCAAGUAGACUUACCAAAGAAUAACAAAUAAACAUAUUUAAAAAAAUCGUUUAAUAACUAAAUAAAAUAUCAUUCACCAUUUCAAAGGAUUAAAAUUCAUAAAUUAUGUAAUAAUUUUAUAAAAAAAAUAAAUUUUUUAUAUAGGUUAAACUUUUAUAUCUAUAACUAUAUAUUAUUUAUUUAUGAAUCAUGAAAAUUAAAAAUAUUUUGAAUUAGAUUUUCUAUUUGAUUAUUUCAUAUUAUGAAUUUAGUAUACGGAACUCAAAAACAUAUUAGUAUGUAAUAAUAAUUAAUAACAAUGUAAAAUAUACAAAAACAAAUAUUUAUAUAUUAAUAAUCUCUAAUAAGAAACAUAAUCAAUAAAAUUAUAAAAUUACACAAUAUAUAACAGUAAAAUAUAAAUCGUGAAAAUAUAUGCAAUAAUAUUAAAAUUAUACAUUGAUGAAAUAAAAAAAUUUAUCCCCACAGAAGUGUCGGUUAAAGUCUAGUUAGAUCUUGGUUUUGAGUUGAUUAUUCUUAUCCACAUUCUCAAGAGCCGCAAUUAGUGUAUAGAUUUCUUAACAAAAUAGUUAUAAGACAACACAUUUUCUUUUUCACACGAAUCAAAUAGAAUCAGAUGAAAGUGUUCUACGAACGUUGAUAUCAUAUAUCAAACUUGAUUUAAUAAAAUGAGUUGUUGACAAAAAAAAUGUUCAAAUUGUCGUACUGUGAGCGACGAUUAUAUAUUUCAGUAGGUUCACAUUUUCUCCAAGAGUAAGAAUAAGUUACCUGAACGAGAUUCAGUUUAUCCUCCAAUAUGACUUGAGUAUACUAUGCAAAUACAGCUUAAACUAGUUGGGAAUUAUCUAUCAUUAUAUUACUUUCACGUUUUGAUGUUAAAUAUUUGUGGCAAUUUAAAAGCUAAAAAUAUUUAACAUUGUUUUAUAUAACAUAAGAUUUUAAUUAUUCUAUUUGGGUUUGCGUUUGCUUAUGCUUUUGUAAUAUACAAAUGUUUUGAGCUUGAUCAUAAACUCUUUACGAUUUUAUAAGUUACAUUUUUGUUGUUUUAGAAGCGUUUAUGAUUUCUUCGUCGAAAAAAAAAGAUUUCUUCAUCGGCUAAAUUAUUCAUGGUUCGAUACUUCGAUUUGUAUAAAUAUUUAGUUUUAAUUAUUGUCGGCAUGAAAUUACACAGUUGCAAAUAAAACCCUAUGGUGUAAAUU
Molecule: long non-coding RNA, 5792 nt
Organism: Brassica rapa (field mustard)
Lineage: Eukaryota; Viridiplantae; Streptophyta; Magnoliopsida; Brassicales; Brassicaceae
Source: RefSeq, a predicted model, not a curated record